GUGAACGCUGGCGGUAGGCCUAGCCCAUGCCAGUCGCACGGCAGCACAGUAAGAGCUUGCUCUUACGGGUGGCGAGUGGCGGACGGGUGAGGAAUACAUCGGAAUCUACUUUUUCGUGGGGGAUAACGUAGGGAAACUUACGCUAAUACCGCAUACGACCUACGGGUGAAAGCAGGGGAUCUUCGGACCUUGCGCGAUUGAAUGAGCCGAUGUCGGAUUAGCUAGUUGGCGGGGUAAAGGCCCACCAAGGCGACGAUCCGUAGCUGGUCUGAGAGGAUGAUCAGCCACACUGGAACUGAGACACGGUCCAGACUCCUACGGGAGGCAGCAGUGGGGAAUAUUGGACAAUGGGCGCAAGCCUGAUCCAGCCAUACCGCGUGGGUGAAGAAGGCCUUCGGGUUGUAAAGCCCUUUUGUUGGGAAAGAAAAGCAGCAGGUUAAUACCCCGCUGUUCUGACGGUACCCAAAGAAUAAGCACCGGCUAACUUCGUG
This 491-nucleotide ribosomal RNA is filed under the name uncultured bacterium. RNAcentral's name for it is "partial 16S ribosomal RNA". It matches the Rfam family "Bacterial small subunit ribosomal RNA", at positions 29 to 507 of the family's 1533-position model. The record is from RNAcentral.